AUUAAACGCUGGCGGCAUGCCUUACACAUGCAAGUCGAACGGUAGCGCGGGGCAACCUGGCGACGAGUGGCGAACGGGUGAGUAAAAGCAUCGGAACGUGCCCUGGAAUGGGGGAUAACGUAGCGAAAGUUACGCUAAUACCGCAUAUUCUGUGAGCAGGAAAGCAGGGAUCGCAAGACCUUGCGUUCUGGGAGCGGCCGAUGUCGGAUUAGCUGGUUGGUGGGGUAAAAGCCUACCAAGGCGACGAUCCGUAGCGGGUCUGAGAGGAUGAUCCGCCACACUGGGACUGAGACACGGCCCAGACUCCUACGGGAGGCAGCAGUGGGGAAUUUUGGACAAUGGGCGGAAGCCUGAUCCAGCCAUGCCGCGUGAGUGAAGAAGGCCUUC
RNAcentral lists this ribosomal RNA (387 nucleotides) under uncultured bacterium. Its description in RNAcentral is "bacterial SSU rRNA". It matches the Rfam family "Bacterial small subunit ribosomal RNA", at positions 29 to 419 of the family's 1533-position model. The record is from RNAcentral.